CCUACGGGGGGCUGCAGUGGGGAAUAUUGCACAAUGGGGGAAACCCUGAUGCAGCAACGCCGCGUGAGCGAUGAAGGCCUUCGGGUCGUAAAGCUCUGUCCUAAGGGAAGAAUACUGACGGUACCUUAGGAGGAAGCCCCGGCUAACUACGUGCCAGCAGCCGCGGUAAUACGUAGGGGGCUAGCGUUAUCCGGUAUUACUGGGCGUAAAGGGAGCGUAGGCGGCCCUUCAAGUCAGAUGUAAAAGGCUACUGCUCAACCGUAGGAAGGCUUUGUAACUGUAGGGCUUGAGUGGAGGAGAGGAGAGUUGGAUGGCAAGUGUAGCGGUGUAGUGCGUAAGGAUUGGGUUAACCACCACUUGCGGAUGAGACUGUCUGGAGUGUAACUGACGCUAAGGGACGAAAGGGUGGUCGGCUAACAGCAGCAGAUACCCUAGAUGUC
This 440-nucleotide ribosomal RNA is filed under the name uncultured bacterium. RNAcentral describes it as "bacterial SSU rRNA". It matches the Rfam family "Bacterial small subunit ribosomal RNA", at positions 338 to 795 of the family's 1533-position model. The record is from RNAcentral.